Molecule: unclassified non-coding RNA, 336 nt
Filed under: uncultured fungus
Lineage: Eukaryota; Fungi
Description: partial contains 5.8S ribosomal RNA and internal transcribed spacer 2
Rfam family: 5.8S ribosomal RNA (bases 1-133)
Source: RNAcentral
UGGUUCUGGCAUCGAUGAAGAACGCAGCGAAAUGCGAUAAGUAGUGUGAAUUGCAGAAUUCAGUGAAUCAUCGAAUCUUUGAACGCACAUUGCGCCCUUCGGUAUUCCGUGGGGCAUGCCUGUUCGAGCGUCAUGAACACCCUCAAGCCCUGCUUGGUGUUGGGCGUCUGUCCUGGGGUUGCACCCCGCCCGGACUCGCCUUAAAGGCAUUGGCAGCGGUCCCCGUGGCCUCCUAAUCGCGCAGCACUGUCCGCGCCUCCUGGAGACUCGAGGGGUCGCGUCCACGAAGCCUACAUUUUCAAGUUUGACCUCGGAUCAGGUAGGGAUACCCGCUGA